This 465-nucleotide ribosomal RNA is filed under the name uncultured bacterium. Its description in RNAcentral is "partial 16S ribosomal RNA". It matches the Rfam family "Bacterial small subunit ribosomal RNA", at positions 338 to 795 of the family's 1533-position model. The record is from RNAcentral.
CCUACGGGAGGCAGCAGUGGGGAAUUUUGCGCAAUGCUCGUAAGAGUGACGCAGCGACGCCGCGUGAAUGACGAAGGCCUUCGGGUCGUAAAGUUCUUUCGACAGGGAAGAAAAUGCCUAUAAGUAACUGUGUAUGUAUUGACGGUACCUGUAUAAGCAGCCCCGGCUAACUCCGUGCCAGCAGCCGCGGUAAUACGGAGGGGGCGAGCGUUGUUCGGAGUGACUGGGCGUAAAGAGCACGUAGGCGGUGUUGUAAGUCAUUAGUCAAAGACUAGAGCUCAACUUUAGUAAGGCUAGUGAUACUAUAAUACGAGAGUAUCAGAGAGGAUUGCAGAAUUCCAGGUGGAGCGGUGAAAUGCGUAGAUAGCAGGAGGAAUACCGUUAGCGAAGGCGGCAAUCUGGCUGGAAACUGACGCUGAGGUGCGAAAGCGUGGGUAGCAAACAGGAUUAGAUACCCCAGUAGUC